UACGUAGGGCGCAAGCGUUGUCCGGAAUUAUUGGGCGUAAAGAGCUCGUAGGCGGCUUGUCACGUCGGGUGUGAAAGCCCGGGGCUUAACCCCGGGUCUGCAUUCGAUACGGGCUAGCUAGAGUGUGGUAGGGGAGAUCGGAAUUCCUGGUGUAGCGGUGAAAUGCGCAGAUAUCAGGAGGAACACCGGUGGCGAAGGCGGAUCUCUGGGCCUUACCUGACGCUCAGGUGCGAAAGCUAGGGGAGCGAACAGG
Molecule: ribosomal RNA, 253 nt
Filed under: uncultured bacterium
Lineage: Bacteria
Description: partial 16S ribosomal RNA
Rfam family: Bacterial small subunit ribosomal RNA
Source: RNAcentral